GGAAUCUUCGGCAAUGGACGAAAGUCUGACCGAGCAACGCCGCGUGAGUGAAGAAGGUUUUCGGAUCGUAAAACUCUGUUGUUAGAGAAGAACAAGGAUGAGAGUAACUGUUCAUCCCUUGACGGUAUCUAACCAGAAAGCCACGGCUAACUACGUGCCAGCAGCCGCGGUAAUACGUAGGUGGCAAGCGUUGUCCGGAUUUAUUGGGCGUAAAGCGAGCGCAGGCGGUUUCUUAAGUCUGAUGUGAAAGCCUUCGGCUUAACCGGAGAAGUGCAUCGGAAACCGGGAGACUUGAGUGCAGAAGAGGACAGUGGAACUCCAUGUGUAGCGGUGAAAUGCGUAGAUAUAUGGAAGAACACCAGUGGCGAAGGCGGCUGUCUGGUCUGUAACUGACGCUGAGGCUCGAAAGCAUGGGUAGCGAACA
RNAcentral lists this ribosomal RNA (424 nucleotides) under uncultured bacterium. Its description in RNAcentral is "bacterial SSU rRNA". It matches the Rfam family "Bacterial small subunit ribosomal RNA", at positions 358 to 774 of the family's 1533-position model. The record is from RNAcentral.